GAUGAACGCUGGCGGCGUGCCUAAUACAUGCGAGUCGAGCGAACAGACGAGGAGCUUGUUCCUCUGACGUUAGCGGCGGACGGGUGAGUAACACGUGGAUCACCUACCUAUAAGACUGGGAUAACUUCGGGAAACCGGAGCUAAUACCGGAUAAUAUAUUGAACCGCAUGGUUCAAUAGUGAAAGACGGUUUUGCUGUCACUUAUAGAUGGAUCCGCGCCGCAUUAGCUAGUUGGUAAGGUAACGGCUUACCAAGGCAACGAUGCGUAGCCGACCUGAGAGGGUGAUCGGCCACACUGGAACUGAGACACGGUCCAGACUCCUACGGGAGGCAGCAGUAGGGAAUCUUCCGCAAUGGGCGAAAGCCUGACGGAGCAACGCCGCGUGAGUGAUGAAGGUCUUCGGAUCGUAAAACUCUGUUAUUAGGGAAGAACAAAUGUGUAAGUAACUAUGCACGUCUUGACGGUACCUAAUCAGAAAGCCACGGCUAACUACGUG
RNAcentral lists this ribosomal RNA (497 nucleotides) under uncultured bacterium. Its description in RNAcentral is "partial 16S ribosomal RNA". It matches the Rfam family "Bacterial small subunit ribosomal RNA", at positions 28 to 507 of the family's 1533-position model. The record is from RNAcentral.